This 466-nucleotide ribosomal RNA is filed under the name uncultured bacterium. RNAcentral's name for it is "partial 16S ribosomal RNA". It matches the Rfam family "Bacterial small subunit ribosomal RNA", at positions 30 to 507 of the family's 1533-position model. The record is from RNAcentral.
CGAACGCUGGCGGCGUGCUUAACACAUGCAAGUCGAACGGAAAGGCCCUGCUUUUGUGGGGUGCUCGAGUGGCGAACGGGUGAGUAACACGUGAGUAACCUGCCCUUGACUUUGGGAUAACUUCAGGAAACUGGGGCUAAUACCGGAUAGGAGCUCCUGCUGCAUGGUGGGGGUUGGAAAGUUUCGGCGGUUGGGGAUGGACUCGCGGCUUAUCAGCUUGUUGGUGGGGUAGUGGCUUACCAAGGCCUUGACGGGUAGCCGGCCUGAGGGGGUGACCGGCCACAUUGGGACUGAGAUACGGCCCAGACUCCUACGGGAGGCAGCAGUGGGGAAUAUUGCACAAUGGGCGGAAGCCUGAUGCAGCAACGCCGCGUGCGGGAUGACGGCCUUCGGGUUGUAAACCGCUUUCGCCUGUGACGAAGCGUGAGUGACGGUAAUGGGUAAAGAAGCACCGGCUAACUACGUG